RNAcentral lists this ribosomal RNA (468 nucleotides) under uncultured bacterium. RNAcentral's name for it is "partial 16S ribosomal RNA". It matches the Rfam family "Bacterial small subunit ribosomal RNA", at positions 28 to 507 of the family's 1533-position model. The record is from RNAcentral.
GACGAACGCUGGCGGCGUGCUUAACACAUGCAAGUCGAACGGAAAGGCCCUGCUUUUGUGGGGUGCUCGAGUGGCGAACGGGUGAGUAACACGUGAGUAACCUGCCCUUGACUUUGGGAUAACUUCAGGAAACUGGGGCUAAUACCGGAUAGGAGCUCCUGCUGCAUGGUGGGGGUUGGAAAGGUUCGGCGGUUGGGGAUGGACUCGCGGCUCAUCAGCUUGUUGGUGGGGUAGUGGCUUACCAAGGCUUUGACGGGUAGCCGGCCUGAGAGGGUGACCGGCCACAUUGGGACUGAGAUACGGCCCAGACUCCUACGGGAGGCAGCAGCGGGGAAUAUUGCACAAUGGGCGGAAGCCUGAUGCAGCAACGCCGCGUGCGGGAUGACGGCCUUCGGGUUGUAAACCGCUUUCGCCUGUGACGAAGCGUGAGUGACGGUAAUGGGUAAAGAAGCACCGGCUAACUACGUG